GCAAGUCGAACGAGAUCUUCGGAUCUAGUGGCGCACGGGUGAGUAACGCGUGGCAACCUACCAUUCUGUACGGAAUAACGGUUGGAAACGGCCGCUAAUACCGUAUACGCCCUGUGGGGGAAAGGUCCGCCGCAGAAUGAGGGGUCCGCGUCCGAUUAGCUUGUUGGUGAGGGAAUGGCAGAAAAAGGCUGCGAUCGGUAGCUGGUCUGAGAGGAUGAUC
RNAcentral lists this ribosomal RNA (220 nucleotides) under uncultured bacterium. RNAcentral describes it as "partial 16S ribosomal RNA". It matches the Rfam family "Bacterial small subunit ribosomal RNA", at positions 57 to 305 of the family's 1533-position model. The record is from RNAcentral.